Molecule: ribosomal RNA, 217 nt
Filed under: uncultured bacterium
Lineage: Bacteria
Description: partial 16S ribosomal RNA
Rfam family: Bacterial small subunit ribosomal RNA
Source: RNAcentral
UGAGGAAUCUGUCCAUCGGCGGGGGAUAGCCGGCCCAACGGCCGAGUAAUACCGCGUACGUCGGCGGGAGCGCAUGCUCCUGCCGGGAAAGCAGCAAUGCACCGAUGGAGGAUCUCGCGGCCUAUCAGCUUGUUGGUGAGGUCACGGCUCACCAAGGCGACGACGGGUAGCUGGUCUGAGAGGAUGACCAGCCACACUGGGACUGAGACACGGCAGA